GGACUACAGGGGUAUCUAAUCCUGUUCGCUCCCCUAGCUUUCGCACCUGAGCGUCAGGAGCCAGCCAGGACACUGCCUUCGCCUUUGGUCUUCCUCCGGAUAUCUACGCAUUUCACCACUCCACCCGGAAUUCGGUGUCCCUCUCUGGUCCUCAAGUGAGGUAGUCUUCAAAGUCCUUGCUCAGUUAAGCCGAGCACUGUCACCCCAAACUCACCUCACCGCCUGCGCGCCCUUUACGCCCAGUAACUCCGGACAACGCUCGCCCCCUACGUCUUACCGCGGCUGCUGGCAC
RNAcentral lists this ribosomal RNA (292 nucleotides) under uncultured bacterium. RNAcentral's name for it is "partial 16S ribosomal RNA". The record is from RNAcentral.